AUGAACAUACUUUGCAUGCAUAUUCAGAGUUUGAAACUGCUGCACUAGCAACUCCAGGGUCAUGGGUUCAAUUCCCAGGAAACAAAGGUAUGUAAGUCACUUUGGAUAAAAGCAAUUUAAAUCAAUGCUUUCCAGAUGUGAUAUGGCCAACAUAGUGGUCCUUAGAUAUUCAUCCUGCACAUUUCCUUUCAUAUCUAAGAAAGGUUUUUUUUUUUUUUUUGCACUGAAGGAUUUUUCCAGAAUGUGAAUUUGAAGCAUGAGCAGAUGUGCUUCAGCACCUACAGGUUGGAUUAUAUGACGUCUUAACAUCUAACAAACACAGAAGAAAUGAAACAGAACCGUCUGGGAAACUGAUCUCCAUUAAGUCUCCUGAGAUCUCUCUCCAUCAUCUCUUCAUCUGUCACUCACGGCAGAGCCGUACUGCAGUGUCAGGUCAGCGCCGCAGCAGAACUUUGAGCACGCUCUCCGGUUCCUCCAGGACACUGCCAGUCAGCGCUGCACCGGAAAGCAUGUCAGUCACUGCGUUAGAAGCUUCCUGACGCUUCAUCAAAGCUGUAGGUCCUGAAGAAGCCUUGCCAGCUCGUUUGUAAGUCGAGUGCUUAUGGAACGAUUUUUUCAAACAAUUCACAACAGCGCAUGCAAUCGCGUCUUGAGUUCGCUGACAGCACAACUUGUUGACAUGCACUGCUUUCAAAGCACCAAAAAAUCUGCUUGACGGGUGGUGCAACAUCAUUCAUGUAUGACUAGCAUAACCCAACACAACCCUUG
Cyprinus carpio carpio is the source of this 768-nucleotide long non-coding RNA. NCBI's taxonomy places the organism in Eukaryota, Metazoa, Chordata, Actinopteri, Cypriniformes, Cyprinidae. The record is from Ensembl.